AGGGCCCCACCGUGAGUGGAGCCUGCGGCUUAAUUUGACUCAACGAAAAAAAACUCACCCGGCCCGGACACUGGAUGGAUUGAUUGAUUGAUAUUUCUUUCUUGAUUGGAUGGGGGGGGGUGCAUGGCCGUUCUUGGUGGGUGGAUUGAUUUGUCUGGUUAAUUCCAAUAACGAACGAGACUCUAGCCUACUAAAUAGAUAGUCGGCUUACAAACGCGGUGUAGACUUCUUAGAGGGACAGGCGGUGAUUCAACCGCCAGAAACAUAACAAUAACUGGUCUGUGAUGCCCUUAGAUGUGCUGGGCCGCACCCGCGCUACACUGAAGUGAUCAGCGUGCUUUUUCAGCCUACUCUGUCAAGAGUGGGAAACCUUUUGAACCUUCUUCGUGAUAGGGAUAUGGGAUUGUUUUUAUUCCCAAUUAACAAGGAAUUCCCAUCAAUCGCUAGUCAUAAUCUCGUGUUUAUUACUUCCCUGCACUUUGUACACACUACUCCGUCGCUACUACCGAUUGAAUGUUU
This 519-nucleotide ribosomal RNA is filed under the name uncultured eukaryote. Its description in RNAcentral is "partial 18S ribosomal RNA". It matches the Rfam family "Eukaryotic small subunit ribosomal RNA", at positions 1161 to 1698 of the family's 1831-position model. The record is from RNAcentral.